RNAcentral lists this ribosomal RNA (256 nucleotides) under uncultured bacterium. RNAcentral's name for it is "partial 16S ribosomal RNA". It matches the Rfam family "Bacterial small subunit ribosomal RNA", at positions 524 to 777 of the family's 1533-position model. The record is from RNAcentral.
UACGGGGGGGGGCAAGCGUUGUUCGGAAUUACUGGGCGUAAAGGGCUCGUAGGCGGCCAACUAAGUCGGAUGUGAAAUCCCCCAGGCUUAACCUGGGAACUGCAUCCGAUACUGGAUGGCUUGAAUCCGGGAGAGGGAUGCGGAAUUCCAGGUGUAGCGGUGAAAUGCGUAGAUAUCUGGAGGAACACCGGUGGCGAAGGCGGCAUCCUGGACCGGCAUUGACGCUGAGGAGCGAAAGCCAGGGGAGCAAAACGGG